GCCCCGAAAAUGGGAGAGAAACGGCCCGAAAUGUCCCCAAAUUAUGGCAGAGAAAUGCCCCAAAAUUGGGAGAGAAACCACCCAGAAAUGGCAGAGAAAUAACCCAAAACACCGCCCCAAAAAUGGGAGAGAAACGGCCCGAAAUGUCCCCAAAAUAUGGCAGAGAAAUGCCCCAAAAAUGGCACCAAACUACCCCAAAACUUCCCCCCAAAAAUGGCAGAAAAACACCCCAAAACCACCCCAAAAAUGGGAGAGAAAUAACCCAAAACACCGCCCCGAAAAUGGGAGAGAAACGGCCCGAAAUGUCCCCAAAAUAUGGCAGAGAAAUACCCCAAAAUUGGGAGAGAAACCACCCCAAAACCACCCCAAAAUUGGGAGAGAA
This 382-nucleotide long non-coding RNA is filed under the name Zonotrichia albicollis (white-throated sparrow). Its description in RNAcentral is "lncRNA (ENSZALG00000005075.1)". The record is from RNAcentral. Lineage: Eukaryota; Metazoa; Chordata; Aves; Passeriformes; Passerellidae.